GUAGGGUGCGAGCGUUAAUCGGAAUUACUGGGCGUAAAGCGUGCGCAGGCGGUUUUGUAAGACAGGUGUGAAAUCCCCGGGCUUAACCUGGGAACUGCGCUUGUGACUGCAAGACUCGAGUACGGCAGAGGGGGGUAGAAUUCCACGUGUAGCAGUGAAAUGCGUAGAGAUGUGGAGGAAUACCGAUGGCGAAGGCAGCCCCCUGGGUCGAUACUGACGCUCAUGCACGAAAGCGUGGGGAGCAAACAGGAUUAGAUACCCUGGUAGUCCACGCCCUAAACGAUGCCAACUAGGUGUUGGGGAAGGAGACUUCCUUAGUACCGUAGCUAACGCGUGAAGUUGGCCGCCUGGGGAGUACGGUCGCAAGAUUAAA
This 373-nucleotide ribosomal RNA is filed under the name uncultured bacterium. RNAcentral describes it as "bacterial SSU rRNA". It matches the Rfam family "Bacterial small subunit ribosomal RNA", at positions 527 to 898 of the family's 1533-position model. The record is from RNAcentral.